UUGGAGGGCAAGUCUGGUGCCAGCAGCCGCGGUAAUUCCAGCUCCAAUAGCGUAUAUUAAAGUUGUUGCAGUUAAAAAGCUCGUAGUUGAAUUUCGGGGUUCUACCGUUGGUCGGGCUAUUGUCUGUACUGGCGUGUAGAAUUUCUACCUUCUGGGGAACUAUCAUGUUAUUAAUUUAGCGUGGUAGGAAACCAGAACCUUUACCUUGAAAAAAUUAGAGUGUUCAAAGCAGGCUUAUGUCUGAAUACAUUAGCAUGGAAUAAUAAAAUAGGACGGUGGUCCUGUUUUGUUGGUUUCUGAAUCACCGUAAUGAUUAAUAGGGAUAGUUGGGGGCAUUAGUAUUCAAUUGUCAGAGGUGAAAUUCUUGGAUUUAUUGAAGACUAACUACUGCGAAAGCAUUUGCCAAGGAUGUUUUCAUUAAUCAAGAACGAAAGUUAGGGGAUCGAAGACGAUCAGAUACCGUCGUAGUCUUAACCAUAAACUAUGCCGACUAGGGAUCGGACGAUGUUAACUUUUCUUGACUCGUUCGGCGCCUUACGGGAAAC
RNAcentral lists this ribosomal RNA (545 nucleotides) under uncultured Gigasporaceae. Its description in RNAcentral is "SSU rRNA". It matches the Rfam family "Eukaryotic small subunit ribosomal RNA", at positions 548 to 1098 of the family's 1831-position model. Lineage: Eukaryota; Fungi; Glomeromycota; Glomeromycetes; Diversisporales; Gigasporaceae. The record is from RNAcentral.